Long non-coding RNA from Malus domestica (apple), 1099 nucleotides. RefSeq lists it as uncharacterized. Lineage: Eukaryota; Viridiplantae; Streptophyta; Magnoliopsida; Rosales; Rosaceae. The record is from RefSeq and is a predicted model, not a curated record.
GCAGCUUCUUCUUACCCCCUAAACACUGCAUCCGUAGACUUCCAUAACCCAGCAACAACCAUACCUCCGUGAAUACCUAGCCUUGGUGGGAAAUCUGAAAAACUGCAAUGCGAAAGGUAAAUCAUUCUCAAAUCUUUUGAUUUCCUGUUCAGAUUUAUUUAUUUGAGGAAAAUGUACAAAAUAUAACACAUGCAUGUGGUGUUAUCUGUUUGAGGACCCCCAAUAAUUUCAAAUAUGAGACAAUAACACAAGAACAACACCCUGAGUCGCCAUCUCUUCUCAACCAAAUCAUGUGUCUCCCAAGCCUCAAGCCAUCACAAAUUCGAGUUCUAAGCAUGCAGAUCGAGACCAUUGCACACAUGCAACGUAGGUACCUGAGAUUUACAAAGAGACUGAAGAGACUAACUCAAAAAAAAAUUCCCAAACUCACGGAUCUGCAAAUUUUGAGCGUACAACCGAGAGAAAACAAGCUUAAGCUGCCGGUCUAAUGGUCCAGAAGGCAAAAUAAAUGGCAAAUGUCUCGGCCUCUGCAAAUCAUAAAGGGGUAUACGGAUCCAUGAUAGAGCCAAGGAAACAAAAGUAAACACACAAGCUCAACGGACGAAAACAGCACAGGCCGCAUGACCCAGAUUGGUGCAUCUGGGAGGUAAAAUCUGAAUCCCUGCAAGUGAAGUUGUUGUAGAUCUGGUAAUAAUAGUUGUAUUCAAUUCUGUGGUGUAUGGAGCUGUGAUUUUAACUUUGCUUCUCCUCUAUGCAUCCCAAAACUGAGCUGCAGAAAAUUAAGUUCUCAAAAUUAUGUUUAUGUGUUGGAUCUGCAACAAUCACCCCCAAACUUGCAUCUGUGAAUGACUUUAUGUUGACUGUUUUAAAUUUCCAGCUUAGUGUAGAUGUGGUUGAUGUUAAUAUAGACUUGCUGCUGGGUGCAUGAUUCUAGUAUAGGAUGCUCUUUAUUUUCCAUGUUUUCAACCUGCAAUUAACCAAUAAAUGUGAAUAUUAAAAAUGGAGCUAAAAUCAACAUGCAUAAAUAAAGAAAGCGACAUAUUCUUUGAUUUUUCAUGGUUUUUUUUUUUUUUUUUUUUUUUUUGAAAACUUAGGUAUA